This 497-nucleotide ribosomal RNA is filed under the name Cherax destructor albidus. Its description in RNAcentral is "16S ribosomal RNA". It matches the Rfam family "Archaeal large subunit ribosomal RNA", at positions 1949 to 2680 of the family's 2987-position model. The record is from RNAcentral. Lineage: Eukaryota; Metazoa; Arthropoda; Malacostraca; Decapoda; Parastacidae.
GCCUGCCCACUGAGGGUAUUUAAAGGCCGCGGUAUCAUGACCGUGCGAAGGUAGCAUAAUCAUUAGUCUUUUAAUUGGGGGCUGGUAUGAAGGGUCGGACGAGAAAUGAGCUGUCUUAAAUUUUGAAAAUUGAAUUUAACUUUUAAGUGAGAAGGCUUAAAUAGGCUAGGGGGACGAUAAGACCCUAUAAAGUUUGACAUUAAAUUAAUUAAGGGUAAUUUAGAUUAUAAAGUCUUAUUAUUAUAUAAGUGUUUAGUUGGGGCGACUAGGGUAUAAGUUAUUUAACUGUUUCUUCAUUCGAAUCAAAAAUUUUUGAUUUUAUGAUCCUUUUUAAGGGUACUAGAGUAAAUUACUUUAGGGAUAACAGCGUAAUUUUUUUUGAGAGUUCUUAUCGAUAAAAGAGUUUGCGACCUCGAUGUUGAAUUAAAAUUUCUUUGUAAUGCAGCAGUUACAAGAGAGGGUCUGUUCCACCUUUAAAUUUUUACAUGAUUUGAGUU